RNAcentral lists this unclassified non-coding RNA (332 nucleotides) under soil metagenome. RNAcentral's name for it is "partial contains 5.8S ribosomal RNA, internal transcribed spacer 2, and large subunit ribosomal RNA". The stretch from base 1 to 120 matches the Rfam family "5.8S ribosomal RNA", at positions 35 to 154 of the family's 154-position model. The record is from RNAcentral.
GAUGAAGAACGCAGCGAAAUGCGAUAAGUAAUGUGAAUUGCAGAAUUCAGUGAAUCAUCGAAUCUUUGAACGCACAUUGCGCCCGCCAGUAUUCUGGCGGGCAUGCCUGUCCGAGCGUCAUUUCAACCAUCAAGCCCCGGGCUUGUGUUGGGGACCUGCGUCCGACGCAGGCCCUGAAAACCAGUGGCGGGCUCGCUGUCCACACCGAGCGUAGUAACUAACCUCGCUAUGGAGUGGCGCGGGCGCCUGCCGUAAAACCCCCAAUUUCACAAGGUUGACCUCGGAUCAGGUAGGAAUACCCGCUGAACUUAAGCAUAUCAAUAAGCGGAGGA